UAGGGUUCAAAAACUUUUACCACAUCAGUCAGGACAUCCCAUCUCAUCCGGGUCCGUCUCCAAAGGUGGACAUAAAGAACGGGAAACCAUCUUAAAUCACACCGCUCGUCUAAUGACUACUGAGCUCCUGCAUAUUUCAACAUUCAUUCAUUAGAGGCGGGGAUUGGGCGAGAUCAGCGGCGGGCGAAUCGUGGCACUCUGAUUGAGGCCGUUAUGUUUUAUAGGAGCCAUUUUUCAACGCCGCCUCUGACAGCACUUGAGUUGACUGACUCUAAUCCACUCCAGUAAGCGGAGCCAACACGCGGAUCACAGGCGGCCCCCUCAUCGUCUCUCCUCCCCGGGGAGGCCUUUGUGGAGCUAGGGGCUGAGCUUCAGGCGACUCCAGUGUUACAACACUCUUUAUCCCCCCGCCGUUAUCUGUGACUAUCUCGCUCUGUGUCCCCACUAUAGAGGGAGGAAUGUGGAGAAGGAGAGAGAGGAGAGGAAGGAGGGAUGGACUGCAUGUGGGUGUGAGGGGGACAGAGGAUGAAAGAGACGGAAACAGAAAGGGAGAGAUGGAGGGAAACGGUGAUAUCUACGAUAAAUAGAGGAGAAGAAGGUGUGAAUAAAGAGGGGUAGAAAUAAAGAGGGGGAUAGAGGAACAGUGUUUGUAUAAAGGAAUGAUGAGAGUUAAAAAAAGAGAGGACUAAUUUGAGCGAGAGUGAGUCUCACACACAGUAAAUGGAAAGAAAAAGGGAAAGAACCAGAUAAAGGAGGAGGAAGGAAAGCAAAAAUGAAAGUUUUAGUCAGCCAAAGAGAGGAAGAGAGAGACAGUGAGAGAGGCUCUUGAGGGCUAAAUGAAGCCUGAUUCCCCAGAUAUUUGGACCCCCCUCGGGAGCGUACAGUGGUUGCCUGGCACUGAUGAUUGGAGAUAGGCUCCUGAGGGAACAACACAACAGAAUAAGCUGGGAACAGACAAGCGUCUCGCUCCUGUUUGAUUGACGCUUAUUCCGUCAACAUAUCCAGUUCACCAUCGCUCGAACACAUUCCCUUUAAGCGGCACAGUCGGUGUUGUACUGAAUCCCGG
Molecule: long non-coding RNA, 1066 nt
Filed under: Salmo salar (Atlantic salmon)
Lineage: Eukaryota; Metazoa; Chordata; Actinopteri; Salmoniformes; Salmonidae
Description: lncRNA (ENSSSAG00000105371.1)
Source: RNAcentral